This 547-nucleotide ribosomal RNA is filed under the name uncultured bacterium. RNAcentral describes it as "partial 16S ribosomal RNA". It matches the Rfam family "Bacterial small subunit ribosomal RNA", at positions 355 to 892 of the family's 1533-position model. The record is from RNAcentral.
UAGGGAAUCUUCGGCAAUGGGGGCAACCCUGACCGAGCAACGCCGCGUGAGUGAAGAAGGUUUUCGGAUCGUAAAGCUCUGUUGUAAGUCAAGAACGGGUGUGAGAGUGGAAAGUUCACACUGUGACGGUAGCUUACCAGAAAGGGACGGCUAACUACGUGCCAGCAGCCGCGGUAAUACGUAGGUCCCGAGCGUUGUCCGGAUUUAUUGGGCGUAAAGCGAGCGCAGGCGGUUUGAUAAGUCUGAAGUUAAAGGCUGUGGCUCAACCAUAGUUCGCUUUGGAAACUGUCAAACUUGAGUGCAGAAGGGGAGAGUGGAAUUCCAUGUGUAGCGGUGAAAUGCGUAGAUAUAUGGAGGAACACCGGUGGCGAAAGCGGCUCUCUGGUCUGUAACUGACGCUGAGGCUCGAAAGCGUGGGGAGCGAACAGGAUUAGAUACCCUGGUAGUCCACGCCGUAAACGAUGAGUGCUAGGUGUUGGAUCCUUUCCGGGAUUCAGUGCCGCAGCUAACGCAUUAAGCACUCCGCCUGGGGGAGUACGACCGCAAG